Non-coding RNA from Procavia capensis (Cape rock hyrax), 172 nucleotides. NCBI's taxonomy places the organism in Eukaryota, Metazoa, Chordata, Mammalia, Hyracoidea, Procaviidae. The record is from Rfam.
UGCUUAUGCGUUUAAAUGGGUGUGGUGCUAAGUAUAUCUUGUUUACGUUACCUUUCUUUGGAAAAAGUUUUGAAGUCUGGUAGGAUUUGUCCCAUCUUGCCUAUUGCCUGACACUACUGAAAGGGUCCUUAUCUAGCAGCAAGGACUGGAUAGGCAGAGGCUGUGGUUUAGU